GAGAGCGUACACAGGUGCUGCAUGGCUGUCGUCAGCUCGUGUCGUGAGAUGUUGGGUUAAGUCCCGCAACGAGCGCAACCCUGCAUUCAGUUGCCAUCGGGUAAGGCCGGGCACUCUGGAUGGACUGCCGGCGACAAGCCGGAGGAAGGUGGGGACGACGUCAAGUCAUCAUGGCCCUUAUGUCCAGGGCGACACACGUGCUACAAUGGCCGGCACAACGGGAAGCGAAGGGGCGACCCUGAGCGGAUCCCACAAAAGCCGGUCUCAGUUCGGAUUGCAGUCUGCAACUCGACUGCAUGAAGUUGGAAUCGCUAGUAAUCGUGGAUCAGCCAAGCCGCGGUGAAUACGUUCCCGGGCCUU
This 360-nucleotide ribosomal RNA is filed under the name uncultured Thermovirga sp. Its description in RNAcentral is "bacterial SSU rRNA". It matches the Rfam family "Bacterial small subunit ribosomal RNA", at positions 1024 to 1382 of the family's 1533-position model. Lineage: Bacteria; Thermotogati; Synergistota; Synergistia; Synergistales; Thermovirgaceae. The record is from RNAcentral.